RNAcentral lists this ribosomal RNA (473 nucleotides) under uncultured bacterium. Its description in RNAcentral is "bacterial SSU rRNA". It matches the Rfam family "Bacterial small subunit ribosomal RNA", at positions 328 to 793 of the family's 1533-position model. The record is from RNAcentral.
CUCUGUCACUCCUACGGGAGGCAGCAGUGGGGAAUAUUGCACAAUGGGGGAAACCCUGAUGCAGCCAUGCCGCGUGUGUGAAGAAGGCCUUCGGGUUGUAAAGCACUUUCAGUAGGGAGGAAGGUAGUGUAGUUAACACCUGCACUAUUUGACGUUACCUACAGAAGAAGCACCGGCUAACUCCGUGCCAGCAGCCGCGGUAAUACGGAGGGUGCGAGCGUUAAUCGGAAUUACUGGGCGUAAAGCGCAUGCAGGCGGCCUGUUAAGUCAGAUGUGAAAGCCCGGGGCUUAACCUCGGAAUUGCAUUUGAAACUGGCAGGCUAGAGUCUUGUAGAGGGGGUAGAAUUUCAGGUGUAGCGGUGAAAAUGCGUAGAGAUCUGAAGGAAUACCAGUGGCGAAGGCGGCCCCCUGGACAAAGACUGACGCUCAGAUGCGAAAGCGUGGGGAGCAAACAGGAUUAGAUACCCUGGUAG